This 216-nucleotide unclassified non-coding RNA is filed under the name uncultured fungus. Its description in RNAcentral is "partial contains 5.8S ribosomal RNA, internal transcribed spacer 2, and large subunit ribosomal RNA". The record is from RNAcentral. Lineage: Eukaryota; Fungi.
AACGCAUAUGGCGCCCCCUGGCAUCCCCACGGGGCAUGCCUGUUUGAGAAUCAUUUUCACCGUCUGCUUCACUCCCCGUGAGCAGGACCUGGGCCUUCAUCACUGAUCGCCUCGAAUGCGCACGAUUGUGUCGUGACGGGAUGCAUGCAUCGCUGGUCGACCAAUCAUCGCUUUGUCAAUGAUCUCAAAUCAGGCAGGACCACCCGCUGAACUUAA